UACAUAGGUGGCAAGCGUUGUCCGGAUUUAUUGGGUUUAAAGGGUGCGUAGGCGGCCCUGUAAGUCAGUGCUGAAAUAUCCCAGCUUAACUGGGAGGGUGGCAUUGAUACUGCGGGGCUAGAGUACAGAUGAGGUAGGCGGAAUUGACGGUGUAGCGGUGAAAUGCUUAGAUAUCGUCAAGAACACCUAUAGCGAAGGCAGCUUACAAGGCUGUAACUGACGCUGAGGCACGAAAGUGUGGGGAUCAAACAGG
RNAcentral lists this ribosomal RNA (253 nucleotides) under uncultured bacterium. RNAcentral's name for it is "partial 16S ribosomal RNA". It matches the Rfam family "Bacterial small subunit ribosomal RNA", at positions 524 to 776 of the family's 1533-position model. The record is from RNAcentral.